CCGAAGGCAGGAGUGCCUGCAAGGGAGCGCGGAGACAGGUGGUGCAUGGCUGUCGUCAGCUCGUGUCGUGAGAUGUUGGGUUAAGUCCCGCAACGAGCGCAACCCUCACCUCUUGUUGCCAUCAGGUCAUGCUGGGCACUCUAGAGGAACUGCCCCGGUCAACGGGGAGGAAGGCGGGGAUGACGUCAAGUCAUCAUGCCCCUUACGUCCUGGGCUACACACGUGCUACAAUGGCCGGUACAAAGGGAUGCCACACCGCGAGGUAGAGCUAAACCCAAAAAGCCGGUCUAAGUUCGGAUUGGAGUCUGCAACUCGACUCCAUGAAGGAGGAAUCGCUAGUAAUCGCGUAUCAGCACGACGCGGUGAAUACGUUCCCGGGCCUUGUACACACCGCCCGUCACACCACGAAAGCCAG
Molecule: ribosomal RNA, 415 nt
Filed under: uncultured bacterium
Lineage: Bacteria
Description: bacterial SSU rRNA
Rfam family: Bacterial small subunit ribosomal RNA
Source: RNAcentral